GAUGAACGCUAGCGGCAGGCUUAAUACAUGCAAGUCGAGGGGCAGCACGGUUAGCAAUAACUGGUGGCGACCGGCGCACGGGUGCGUAACACGUAUACAAUCUACCUUAAACAGGGGGAUAGCCUUUCGAAAGAGAGAUUAAUACCCGUAAUAAAUUGAACGGCAUCGUUUGAUUUUGAAAGCUCCGGCGGUUUGAGAUGAGUAUGCGUCUGAUUAGCUAGUUGGUGAGGUAACGGCUCACCAAGGCGACGAUCAGUAGGGGAUCUGAGAGGACUAACCCCCACACUGGUACUGAGACGCGGACCAGACUCCUACGGGAGGCAGCAGUAAGGAAUAUUGGUCAAUGGAGGCAACUCUGAACCAGCCAUGCCGCGUGCAGGAUGACGGCCCUAUGGGUUGUAAACUGCUUUUAUACAAGAGAAAACCCUGGUACGUGUACCAGGUUGAUAGUAUUGUAAGAAUAAGCAUCGGCUAACUUCGUGCCAGCAGCCGCGGUAAU
RNAcentral lists this ribosomal RNA (499 nucleotides) under uncultured bacterium. Its description in RNAcentral is "bacterial SSU rRNA". It matches the Rfam family "Bacterial small subunit ribosomal RNA", at positions 28 to 524 of the family's 1533-position model. The record is from RNAcentral.